Molecule: ribosomal RNA, 256 nt
Filed under: uncultured Pseudomonas sp.
Lineage: Bacteria; Pseudomonadati; Pseudomonadota; Gammaproteobacteria; Pseudomonadales; Pseudomonadaceae
Description: partial 16S ribosomal RNA
Rfam family: Bacterial small subunit ribosomal RNA
Source: RNAcentral
CGGCGGACGGGUGAGUAAUGCCUAGGAAUCUGCCUGGUAGUGGGGGACAACGUUUCGAAAGGAACGCUAAUACCGCAUACGUCCUACGGGAGAAAGCAGGGACCUUCGGGCCUUGCGCUAUCAGAUGAGCCUAGGUCGGAUUAGCUAGUUGGUGAGGUAAUGGCUCACCAAGGCGACGAUCCGUAACUGGUCUGAGAGGAUGAUCAGUCACACUGGAACUGAGACACGGUCCAGACUCCUACGGGAGGCAGUAGUA